UGCAGUCGAACGGCAGCGCGGGGCAACCUGGCGGCGAGUGGCGAACGGGUGAGUAAUAUAUCGGAGCGUGCCCUGGAGUGGGGGAUAACGCAGCGAAAGUUGCGCUAAUACCGCAUACGAUCUAAGGAUGAAAGCGGGGGAUUCGCAAGAACCUCGUGCUCCUGGAGCGGCCGAUAUCUGAUUAGCUAGUUGGUGGGGUAAAGGCCUACCAAGGCAUCGAUCAGUAGCUGGUCUGAGAGGACGACCAGCCACACUGGAACUGAGACACGGUCCAGACUCCUACGGGAGGCAGCAGUGGGGAAUUUUGGACAAUGGGCGAAAGCCUGAUCCAGCAAUGCCGCGUGAGUGAAGAAGGCCUUCGGGUUGUAAAGCUCUUUUGUCAGGGAAGAAACGGUGUGGGCUAAUAUACUGCACUAAUGACGGUACCUGAAGAAUAAGCACCGGCUAACUACGUGCCAGCAGCCGCGGUAAUACGUAGGGUGCAAGCGUUAAUCGGAAUUACUGGGCGUAAAGCGUGCGCAGGCGGUUUUGUAAGUCUGUCGUGAAAUCCCCGGGCUCAACCUGGGAAUUGCGAUGGAGACUGCAAGGCUAGAAUCUGGCAGAGGGGGGUAGAAUUCCACGUGUAGCAGUGAAAUGCGUAGAGAUGUGGAGGAACACCGAUGGCGAAGGCAGCCCCCUGGGUCAAGAUUGACGCUCAUGCACGAAAGCG
RNAcentral lists this ribosomal RNA (709 nucleotides) under uncultured bacterium. Its description in RNAcentral is "bacterial SSU rRNA". It matches the Rfam family "Bacterial small subunit ribosomal RNA", at positions 56 to 761 of the family's 1533-position model. The record is from RNAcentral.